CUCAAAUGAAUUGACGGGGGCCCGCACAAGCGGUGGAGCAUGUGGUUUAAUUCGAUGCAACGCGAAGAACCUUACCUGGUCUUGACAUCCACAGAACUUUCCAGAGAUGGAUUGGUGCCUUCGGGAACUGUGAGACAGGUGCUGCAUGGCUGUCGUCAGCUCGUGUUGUGAAAUGUUGGGUUAAGUCCCGCAACGAGCGCAACCCUUAUCCUUUGUUGCCAGCGAUUAGGUCGGG
RNAcentral lists this ribosomal RNA (235 nucleotides) under Salmonella enterica subsp. enterica serovar Worthington str. BCH-4719. RNAcentral describes it as "partial 16S ribosomal RNA". It matches the Rfam family "Bacterial small subunit ribosomal RNA", at positions 900 to 1135 of the family's 1533-position model. Lineage: Bacteria; Pseudomonadati; Pseudomonadota; Gammaproteobacteria; Enterobacterales; Enterobacteriaceae. The record is from RNAcentral.